This 445-nucleotide ribosomal RNA is filed under the name uncultured bacterium. RNAcentral's name for it is "partial 16S ribosomal RNA". It matches the Rfam family "Bacterial small subunit ribosomal RNA", at positions 355 to 792 of the family's 1533-position model. The record is from RNAcentral.
UAGGGAAUCUUCCACAAUGGACGCAAGUCUGAUGGAGCAACGCCGCGUGAGUGAAGAAGGUCUUCGGAUCGUAAAGCUCUGUUGUUGGUGAAGAAGGAUAGAGGCAGUAACUGGUCUUUAUUUGACGGUAAUCAACCAGAAAGUCACGGCUAACUACGUGCCAGCAGCCGCGGUAAUACGUAGGUGGCAAGCGUUGUCCGGAUUUAUUGGGCGUAAAGCGAGCGCAGGCGGAAUGAUAAGUCUGAUGUGAAAGCCCACGGCUCAACCGUGGAACUGCAUCGGAAACUGUCAUUCUUGAGUGCAGAAGAGGAGAGUGGAACUCCAUGUGUAGCGGUGGAAUGCGUAGAUAUAUGGAAGAACACCAGUGGCGAAGGCGGCUCUCUGGUCUGCAACUGACGCUGAGGCUCGAAAGCAUGGGUAGCGAACAGGAUUAGAUACCCUGGUG